RNAcentral lists this ribosomal RNA (461 nucleotides) under uncultured bacterium. RNAcentral's name for it is "partial 16S ribosomal RNA". It matches the Rfam family "Bacterial small subunit ribosomal RNA", at positions 28 to 523 of the family's 1533-position model. The record is from RNAcentral.
GAUGAACGCUGGCGGCGUGCCUAAUACAUGCAAGUCGAGCGGUAAGGCUCCUUCGGGAGUACACGAGCGGCGGACGGGUGAGUAAUACGUAGGAACGUACCCCAAAGUGAGGAAUAACCAGCCGAAAGGUUGGCUAAUACCGCAUAUGCUCUACGGAGUAAAGCAGCAAUGCGCUUUGGGAACGGCCUGCGUCCGAUUAGCUAGUUGGUAAGGUAAAGGCUUACCAAGGCGACGAUCGGUAGCUGUUCUGAGAGGAUGAUCAGCCACACUGGAACUGAGACACGGUCCAGACUCCUACGGGAGGCAGCAGUAGGGAAUUUUCCACAAUGGGCGAAAGCCUGAUGGAGCAACGCCGCGUGCAGGAUGAAGGCCUUAGGGCUGUAAACUGCUUUUAUCUGUGACGAUUAUGACAGUAGCAGAUGAAUAAGGAUCGGCUAACUCCGUGCCAGCCGCCGCUGUAA